RNAcentral lists this ribosomal RNA (496 nucleotides) under uncultured bacterium. RNAcentral's name for it is "partial 16S ribosomal RNA". It matches the Rfam family "Bacterial small subunit ribosomal RNA", at positions 28 to 506 of the family's 1533-position model. The record is from RNAcentral.
GAUGAACGCUGGCGGCGUGCCUAAUACAUGCAAGUCGAGCGAACAGACGAGGAGCUUGCUCCUCUGACGUUAGCGGCGGACGGGUGAGUAACACGUGGAUAACCUACCUAUAAGACUGGGAUAACUUCGGGAAACCGGAGCUAAUACCGGAUAACAUGUUGAACCGCAUGGUUCAACAGUGAAAGACGGUCUUGCUGUCACUUAUAGAUGGAUCCGCGCCGCAUUAGCUAGUUGGUAAGGUAACGGCUUACCAAGGCAACGAUGCGUAGCCGACCUGAGAGGGUGAUCGGCCACACUGGAACUGAGACACGGUCCAGACUCCUACGGGAGGCAGCAGUAGGGAAUCUUCCGCAAUGGGCGAAAGCCUGACGGAGCAACGCCGCGUGAGUGAAGAAGGUCUUCGGAUCGUAAAACUCUGUUAUUAGGGAAGAACAAAUGUGUAAGUAACUAUGCGCGUCUUGACGGUACCUAAUCAGAAAGCCACGGCUAACUACGU